Molecule: ribosomal RNA, 406 nt
Filed under: uncultured bacterium
Lineage: Bacteria
Description: partial 16S ribosomal RNA
Rfam family: Bacterial small subunit ribosomal RNA
Source: RNAcentral
AUUGAACGCUGGCGGCAGGCCUAACACAUGCAAGUCGAACGAGUGGCGGACGGGUGAGUAAUGUCUGGGAAACUGCCCGAUGGAGGGGGAUAACUACUGGAAACGGUAGCUAAUACCGCAUACCAUCGGAUGUGCCCAGAUGGGAUUAGCUAGUAGGUGGGGUAACGGCUCACCUAGGCGACGAGGCCGAGCUGGUCUGAGAGGAUGACCAGCCACAAGUGAACUGAGACACGGUCCAGACUCCUACGGGAGGCAGCAGUUGGGAAUAUUGCACAAUGGGCGCAAGCCUGAUGCAGCCAUGCCGCGUGUAUGAAGAAGGCCUUCGGGUUGGAAAGUACUUUCAGCGAGGAGGCGUUACUCGCAGAAGAAGCACCGGCUAACUCCGUGCCAGCAGCCGCGGUAAUAC